AAAUAGCCACCGGAUUAAAUAAUCCGGGCCCAUCUCCUUUAUACGGUAAACACCCGUUUCCUUAUCCCCUCUAAAAGCACAGUACAAUUUAGUCGGAACACACUCUCUCCUCUCCUCUUGAGAAUGCACUCUCGCUCUCUCUUCCUCUCCAGACGGUACAAGAAAAUCUCUCGGUCUUUCCUUCCUCUCCAGACGCACCACUCCUAGAAGCUAUAAGCUUCUGUGAAGGAAACGCUAGCUAGUUUCACUUCAGUGGUGUGUUGAUCCUUCCAUGGCACUUACUUCAGUGGAAAUAUUUGUUUUGUUGAUGCUCCCUGUGUUUGUUGGUGUUUAAGGAGAAAGCAAAGCAAAGGGAAGAGUUUGCAAAGCAGCAGCAUGCAUAUAUUUUGGCUAUCUAGACAAACUCUUACUUACUGAAACCAACUUGCAUUUAUAUAUUUUAUGAACUUGGAUAUGUGGUUGGAUUAAUCUAUAUAAUGUAAUGACUGUAGUUGUAUUUUGUGAACCUUCUUUUAUGUUAUUGGAAAAUAUUUUGAAUACGAAGAUUUGUCAAAUUUUUUUCCCUUGUCCUAUCUGGUUCAGUACCAAACACAUUAUAAAUAAUACGGUCAUUAGUUCGAUACUGCACCAAAUGCCCGACUCAUUUAGUCAGUACUAUCCGGUGGCUAUUUAUCAUAUCCGACAAAAGUAGUCAGUACAGUCUGAACUGCCAAACUAGGCCUUAAUCCCAAAACUUAACGUUUUAUCUAAUAUUAGAGGUAGGCAUGGUUUUGGAACAGAAGAUUUGAAGCCGUAGCGUAGUAGAAGACCAUUAAUUCUUGACAAAAUGUAGUUCUUUUCUUAGGUAGUCAUCUUAACAAUUUGGAGUCUCCUUAUUCAUUUUUGUCAAUGGAUUAAGAAUCAGAGUUUGUAAUCAGUUUCUUUUCCCUCAUCCUUUGAUUUGUUAUUAACAUUUCAUUCAUCCAGGAUUCUAACUUCUUUAAAAACAAAAAAAUCUUGUAGGCAGAAAGAGAUCCUACUCCUCUCCACCGUGCUGCAAAGCUGUUAAUCAAUUCUCAGAUGGAGGAUGGUGGAUUCCCUCAGCAGGAAAUGACAGGUACUUUCUUUAAGGGUGGCAUGUUACACUACGCAGCAUAUUGUAAUACUUUCCCCUUGAUGGCUCUUGCAGAAUACUGCAUGCAUGCUCCGCUGCAGUCCAAAGGCGUUUAGUACAACCCAAGAUCAAUAAAUCAUGACUGAUAUAACGAAGCAAAUAAACUUGUAAGAACAGUCUGCAUGAUGCUUGAGUGUGUAACAGUUUGAUAAGGGUAAUUCUAUUUAAUAAGCCCAUAAAAUUGUGCAUUAAACAUUGGAUGAUUUGAGCUGGGUAGCUACCUUAA
Long non-coding RNA from Pyrus x bretschneideri (Chinese white pear), 1379 nucleotides. RefSeq lists it as uncharacterized. The transcript has 4 exons. The record is from RefSeq and is a predicted model, not a curated record. NCBI's taxonomy places the organism in Eukaryota, Viridiplantae, Streptophyta, Magnoliopsida, Rosales, Rosaceae.